GACGAACGCUGGCGGCGUGCCUAAUACAUGCAAGUAGAACGCUGAAGGAGGAGCUUGCUCUUCUGGAUGAGUUGCGAAAGGGUGAGUAACGCGUAGGUAACCUGCCUGGUAGCGGGGGAUAACUAUUGGAAACGAUAGCUAAUACCGCAUAAGAGUAGAUGAUGCAUGACAUUUGCUUAAAAGGUGCAAUUGCAUCACUACCAGAUGGACCUGCGUUGUAUUAGCUAGUUGGUGGGGUAACGGCUCACCAAGGCGACGAUACAUAGCCGACCUGAGAGGGGGAUCGGCCACACUGGGACUGAGACACGGCCCAGACUCCUACGGGAGGCAGCAGUAGGGAAUCUUCGGCAAUGGACGGAAGUCUGACCGAGCAACGCCGCGUGAGUGAAGAAGGUUUUCGGAUCGUAAAGCUCUGUUGUAAGAGAAGAACGAGUGUGAGAGUGGAAAGUUCACACUGUGACGGUAUCUUACCAGAAAGGGACGGCUAACUACGUG
RNAcentral lists this ribosomal RNA (495 nucleotides) under uncultured bacterium. Its description in RNAcentral is "partial 16S ribosomal RNA". It matches the Rfam family "Bacterial small subunit ribosomal RNA", at positions 28 to 507 of the family's 1533-position model. The record is from RNAcentral.